Molecule: long non-coding RNA, 2994 nt
Organism: Apis cerana (Asiatic honeybee)
Lineage: Eukaryota; Metazoa; Arthropoda; Insecta; Hymenoptera; Apidae
Source: RefSeq, a predicted model, not a curated record
AAUAUGAUAGAAAACAGAAAAAAAUGGCACUUUUCCAAGGUAAAAAUAUUCAAUGACGUCUAAUAAUCGUUUAAGAAGUUCUGAAAAUAUGAUAGGAAACAGAAAAAAAUGGCACUAUUUCAAUUUAAAAAUAUUCAAUGAUUAAUAAUUGUUUAAGAAGUUAUACUGAAGUUCGCUCUAAAAAUAUUUAAUGUAUUUUGCAAUUUUUCCACAGAAUAGAAGAAAAGCAUAUUCUUUAAAAAAACAUCCUUCUGUUUAUCCCUGAACGCAAAUCGAUUCGAAACAACGCUUCUUUUGCCCCGAGUUAGGACUAUUGAAGAUUAGGAGAGAGAAAAAAAUGGCACUUUUCCAAGAAUAGAAGAAACGUAUUUUUUGAAGAACGUCCUCCUGCGUCCCAAAGUUUAUCCCUGAACGCAAAUCGAUUCGCUCCUUUUGCCCCGAGUCAGGACUGUUGGAAACGACCGUUGCGCUGUCAGCAACGAUGACGAAGAAGAAGAUCAGGGGAAGACAAGAGGUAUACGGAGCCCAGACAGUGAUUCAAAAGAUGCUCGGUACUUUUGGGGUGUCUUGCAGCUGUUCCUCGCCCUCUACCUCCCCGACUUCGGCUAACGCCCGAUCAUCUUUCUUAUCUGCGAGCCGUGCAGAAGCAUGAAAUUUCGUCAAUCUGAGUACUCGAUCGUUGCGUAUAUACAUAGCAUCUCGAGCAUUUCGAGCAAAUGCAUCCUUUCGUAUCCUCUCGUGCAUUCACCACGAUCCAGAGAUCUUUUCACAAUCUGUAUGGCCGAAAGGAAUAAAUGAAGUGUGAAUAAUUUGCGAAAAGAGUUACGGAAUAUAUUUUUAUCGCUUCCGAUUCAUCUCGGCUCCCUCUAAAGAAUCGUGGGAUUCCACCCAAAAAACAGCCGAUAUCUACAAUCUUCCCUUGUAAAGGUUAUAUAAGAGUCGUCGAAGGAAGCGGGAAGGGAGGGAGGAAUAAGAACGAAGAAAUGGGCGGAACGUCGUGGAGAGAUUUGGCAAAGGAUUCGAUAAAGAUUCCCAGAGGAUCUGAGGAGGGCGCAAGGAGGACGACAGAUUGCUGGCUUCGAUCGAGACAGCAAUCGAACAUACAUAAUUCUCUUUAAAUAACACGCACAAUUGAGGAUUGACAAAUUUCUUUGGAUCACUCUCCUUAAGGAAGGAUGUGGCAGACGAUAGAAUUACUGUAAGAAGCAAAAAAAAGGAGAAAAAUAGAGACAAAAAAAAAGUUUAGAAAUCUCACGUCAUGGAAGACGUAGAAGAGGGUUGAACAACCCUACGGGAUCUUCUUUAUUAAGCUCCGGAGACUUAUUCUUGGUGCCAGACGGCAUGCUGUAAAAAAGGGGAAGACGUCCUGGCAACCCUUUCCCCAGGAAGACGCCAGUCCUAGUUUAUGAUCUUUCCACUUUCGUUUUCCUGCUUCUAUAUCCGUGCAUAGUGCGGGAACGCUUCCAAAGUAUACGCGAUUCGAUCGAACUCUCGGAAUUGCUCGCUAAAUGGAUUGAAAUCGUUGACCUUGGUGGGCGAGGCUCCCCAACGCCUAGAACUCGGCACCGCUUCUACGCACUCGAAAUAAAAUCAAAUCGUGAAUUUUAAAUCUAUAUUUUUGAAAGGUGUUGCCCGAGUGAUUUAAAAAUCACGCAAAACACCUGCAUACUCUUCCGGUUGGAUAUCGAAAAAGUGAAUCCGGAAGUGAAAUUUACAAAAUCUAUUUGCAGAAUAUUCAACGUAGUCUAUUCGAAGUUUUCCACGGGCAUCAGUUUUCAAGAUACCUGUGGAAAAGGUUCGCCGUUCUCAAUUUGUUUUCAACCACAACCGCCACUCAUCCCGAGCCGCGCCCCAAUAAUCUCCAGAGAUUAUUUCCGGGGCCACGAGAAUAGAGAGAAGGCCGUGUCGCAGAAAAAAAAACCUGUACAUACGACUUGGACCAAGCCAAAAGAUGGCACAUGCAGAGGAGAGAGAAGGCCUCCUCUCUUAUAGCAUCUGUUGCAUCGUGGUUCGACACCACCACCAUCACUGGCCGCACCACCAGAAGGCACCAUCACUACCACCGGCCCUGACGACCACCAGGUGCUAUCCACCUUCCGUGUCUUUCCCCAUCGUCGUCUUCGAAAAAACCUUCCUCUCCCCUCCCCACGUCCCUCGCCAUUAUUCCCCGAGAUUUCCACCAUCUGCGUCUCUGCGAUCCACCCUUCGCCCCAUCUCUCUCCGACAUUCGUGAUCCACAUUGGUUCAUCUUCUUCCCUCGAGAAGGAGAAGAAGAGACCUCUGGCAAGCCACCUUUUGCGGAGUACGAGAGGCUAAUUGUGACUGGGAUGAUUUCUUGUGUCCGGAAGGUGGAUGGGGUGGAAACCGACUGGAGCAAUUGUUGACGGAUGCUGUCUGGAGAAUAUGCAGUAGGAUGGGGAAGAGGAUAGAUUAGAUAAAUUAGAAAGAUAAUAUUGGUGAUUUUACAAGUCACAAAUCAUCAGUGACAAGUUCUGUUGCGUAAUAAUAGCAGGAGAAGUAGUGAAUCGCAGCCGUCAUAAAGGAAGGGAGAAAGGAAGAAACUGGAAAUUUUCUUGUUCUCAACCGCUGCCGCCAACCGGUUCGUCCAUUUCAUUCGAGUUUUCAAAGUUUUCUCUGCCGUUAAUGGGACUGGCUGUUGUAUUGCGAAAAGAAAAGGUGGCGGAGGGAUGGCAGCGGUAGAAGGAAGGAAGAGGAGAAUGGCACGGCACCGUGCAUUCUUCAUAGACUGGGUACACAGAGACACGCGAUGUUUCGAGGACUCCAUCGAGAAAUAUCGAUUCUGCUAUGUCCACUGACCUGGGCCAAGUGUUUCGUCGAGGAUUGCGUUGCUUAGAAGUAUCGACGAUCGACACUCUACUCUAUAUCUUGAUUGAAAAAAGAAGAUUUAAAAACAAAAAUGAUAUACACGUUCGCUAACUUAAUAAUAAAUGAAUAAAUGCAGUUUACUUCAAACUUUGUCACAAGAUAAUCCGA